RNAcentral lists this ribosomal RNA (372 nucleotides) under uncultured bacterium. RNAcentral's name for it is "bacterial SSU rRNA". It matches the Rfam family "Bacterial small subunit ribosomal RNA", at positions 527 to 896 of the family's 1533-position model. The record is from RNAcentral.
GAAGGGGGCUAGCGUUGUUCGGAAUUACUGGGCGUAAAGCGCGUGUAGGCGGUUUUCCAAGUUGGGUGUGAAAGCCUUGGGCUUAACCCAAGAAAUGCACUCAGUACUGGAAGACUAGAGGACCGGAGAGGAUAGYGGAAUUCCCAGUGUAGYGGUGAAAUACGUAGAGAUUGGGAAGAACACCAGUGGCGAAGGCGGCUAUCUGGACGGUUUCUGACGCUAAGACGCGAAAGCGUGGGGAGCAAACAGGAUUAGAUACCCUGGUAGUCCACGCCGUAAACGAUGGGUGCUAGACGUUGGCGGGUACCCAAUCCCGCCGUGCCGGAGCUAACGCGAUAAGCAUUCCGCCUGGGGAGUACGGUCGCAAGGCUG